This 769-nucleotide long non-coding RNA is filed under the name Felis catus (domestic cat). RNAcentral's name for it is "lncRNA (ENSFCAG00000051949.1)". The record is from RNAcentral. Lineage: Eukaryota; Metazoa; Chordata; Mammalia; Carnivora; Felidae.
AAGGUGACUUCAUCCCUGGUGCCGUGGAGUUUAAAAGAGCGACGAGUGCUCCCUGGCUGAGCCAAGUCUGUCUCAUCGGUGAUGACUCCAUCCAAAUUAUGCAGCCACUGCCCAGACACGCUCAGCCUUCAGAAGAAUCCUAAGUCCCCAGGCUCCUGGCCUCUGCCUUCUCUUUGUGGGAAUGCCGUUUUAAUUCUUUACCUGACUUCAGAACUUGAGAAGACCACCUUCGACCAGAAAAUGUUCUAUGGGAAUGUGCCAUUGCCGGCCAGGUGGCCUGCCUGUCUGGUGAGGAACCUGGUGGGUCCCAGACGCUCAGCGUGUUGCCCUUGCUCUUCAGUGCUGCCACUUGCCAACCUUGAGGUUCUUCUUUCAUCCAGAGAAGCCCUUUUAAUUUUCAUCACCCAAGGAAAACAGGCUGAAGAGAAAUGUGGGGAAUUAACAAAGAUUAAGGUGAGCCCCUGAGGGAUUCUUCGGAAAGCAAGACUGGGAUCAACACCGUGCUAUUAACACUCAGCCGACAGAGAGGCGGGCUAGCUUGACAUCGAGGGUGGAUGCGCCAGUGAUGGGCUUCCAGGCACCAAAGCCAGGCCUUACUCCAAAUUCUACAAGCUACUACCAACCUAUCAAGACUAUGUACUGCAGGUUCUAGAGGGCAGAUACUGCAUUUAGUUCAUAGUUGUAUCUCCAAUGCCUACGCCAUGCCUGGCACAUGGCAGGUGACGAGUAACUGUGUAUGGAGUGAAUAAAGCUCCACAGAAUCUUUCCA